CAGUAGCCGCGGUAAUGCGUAGGUGGCAAGCGUUGUCCGGAAUUAUUUGGCGUAAAGGGCUCGCAGGCGGUUUCUUAAGUCUGAUGUGAAAGCCCCCGGCUCAACCGGGGAGGGUCAUUGGAAACUGGGAAACUUGAGUGCGGAAGAGGAGAGUGGAAUUCCACGUGUAGCGGUGAAAUGCGUAGAGAUGUGGAGGAACACCAGUGGCGAAGGCGACUCUCUGGUCUGUAACUGACGCUGAGGAGCGAAAGCGUGGGGAGCGAACAGGAUUAGAUACCCCAGUAGUCCCUGUCUCUUAUAC
Molecule: ribosomal RNA, 301 nt
Filed under: uncultured bacterium
Lineage: Bacteria
Description: partial 16S ribosomal RNA
Rfam family: Bacterial small subunit ribosomal RNA
Source: RNAcentral